CGGACGGGUGAGUAACACGUGGAUAACCUACUUAUAAGACUGGGAUAACUUCGGGAAACCGGAGCUAAUACCGGAUAAUAUUUUGAACCGCAUGGUUCAAAAGUGAAAGACGGUCUUGCUGUCACUUAUAGAUGGAUCCGCGCCGCAUUAGCUAGUUGGUAAGGUAACGGCUUACCAAGGCAACGAUGCAUAGCCGACCUGAGAGGGUGAUCGGCCACACUGGAACUGAGACACGGUCCAG
RNAcentral lists this ribosomal RNA (241 nucleotides) under uncultured Staphylococcus sp. RNAcentral's name for it is "partial 16S ribosomal RNA". It matches the Rfam family "Bacterial small subunit ribosomal RNA", at positions 99 to 334 of the family's 1533-position model. The record is from RNAcentral. Lineage: Bacteria; Bacillati; Bacillota; Bacilli; Caryophanales; Staphylococcaceae.